Molecule: ribosomal RNA, 459 nt
Filed under: uncultured bacterium
Lineage: Bacteria
Description: partial 16S ribosomal RNA
Rfam family: Bacterial small subunit ribosomal RNA
Source: RNAcentral
CCUACGGGAUGCUGCAGUGAGGAAUAUUGGUCAAUGGUCGGGAGACUGAACCAGCCAAGCCGCGUGAGGGAUGAAGGUACAGAGUAUCGUAAACCUCUUUUGUCAGGGAACAAAGGCGGGGACGUGUCCCCGGAUGAGUGUACCUGAAGAAAAAGCAUCGGCUAACUCCGUGCCAGCAGCCGCGGUAAUACGGAGGAUGCGGGCGUUAUCCGGAUUUCUUGGGUUUAAAGGGUGCGCAGGCGGUCUGUUAAGUCAGCGGUAAAAGCCCGGUGCUCAACCCCGGACGGCCGUUGAAACUGGCAGGCUUGAGUUGGAGAGAGGUAUGCGGAAGGCGCGGUGUAGCGGUGAAAUGCAUAGAUAUCGCGCAGAACUCCGAUUGCGAAGGCAGCAUGCCGGCGCCACACUGACGCUGAGGCACGAAAGCGUGGGUAUCGAACAGGAUUAGAUACCCUUGUAGUC